AGACCGUACCCGAAACCGACACAGGUGGACUGGUAGAGCAUACCAAGGCGCUUGAGAGAACUAUGCUGAAGGAACUCGGCAAAUUGCAUGCGUAACUUCGGGAUAAGCAUGACUUCAUAUUGGGCAUCCAGUAUGAAGUGGCACAGAAUUGGGGGUGGCGAUUGUUUACUAAAAACACAGGGCUCUGCGAAGUUGUAAAACGACGUAUAGGGUCUGACGCCUGCCCGGUGCCGGAAGGUUAAAUGGAGAGGUGCAAGCUUUGAAAUGAAGCCCCGGUAAACGGCGGCCGUAACGAUAACGGUCCUAAGGUAGCGAAAUUCCUUGUCGGGUAAGUUCCGACCUGCACGAAUGGCGUAACGAUCUCCCCACUGUCUCCAGCAUAGACUCAGCGAAAUUGAAUUCCCCGUGAAGAUGCGGGGUUCCUGCGGUCAGACGGAAAGACCCCAUGCACCUUUACUAUAGCUUUACGCUGGCAUUCGUGUCGGCAUGUGCAGGAUAGGUGGUAGGCUUUGAAGCCGGGACGCUAGUUCUGGUGGAGCCGCAAGAUGAGAUACCACCCUUAUCGUCAUGAAUGUCUAACCGCGGCAUUUACAGUGUCCGGGACAGCGUAUGGUGGGUAGUUUGACUGGGGCGGUCGCCUCCCAAAGAGUAACGGAGGCGCGCGAUGGUGGGCUCAGAACGGUCGGAAAUCGUUCGCUGAGUGCAAUGGCAUAAGCCUGCCUGACUGCGAGACUGACAAGUCGAGCAGAGACGAAAGUCGGUCGUAGUGAUCCGGUGGUCCCGCGUGGAAGGGCCAUCGCUCAACGAAUAAAAGGUACGCUGGGGAUAACAGGCUGAUACUGCCCAAGAGUCCAUAUCGACGGCAGUGUUUGGCACCUCGAUGUCGGCUCAUCACAUCCUGGGGCUGGAGCAGGUCCCAAGGGUAUGGCUGUUCGCCAUUUAAAGUGGUACGUGAGCUGGGUUUAAAACGUCGUGAGACAGUUUGGUCCCUAUCUGCCGUGGGUGUUGGAAUAUUGAGAAGAGCUGACCCUAGUACGAGAGGACCGGGUUGGACGGAUCUCUGGUGGACCUGUUGUGGCGCCAGCCGCAUUGCAGGGUAGCUAAAUCCGGACGGGAUAACCGCUGAAAGCAUCUAAGCGGGAAGCCUCCUUCAAAACGAGUAUUCCCUUGAGAGCCGUGGUAGACCACCACGUUGAUAGGCCGGAUGUGGAAGCCCCGCGAGGGGUGAAGCUGACCGGUACUAAUAGCUCGGAAAU
Molecule: ribosomal RNA, 1256 nt
Filed under: metagenome
Description: bacterial LSU rRNA
Rfam family: Bacterial large subunit ribosomal RNA
Source: RNAcentral